ACAACUACGAGUGGUUAUGUAGAGAAGUCAGCAGAAGUCGUAGUACUUAUGAGAAACGAGUUGCAAAUAGCAAUUGCAUAGGUCUCACGAGUAAGGAAGGAC
This is a non-coding RNA of Cellulophaga algicola DSM 14237, 102 nucleotides long. The record is from Rfam. NCBI's taxonomy places the organism in Bacteria, Pseudomonadati, Bacteroidota, Flavobacteriia, Flavobacteriales, Flavobacteriaceae.